UGGGGGAUAUUGCACAAUGGGGGAAACCCUGAUGCAGCAAUGCCGCGUGAGGGAAGAAGGUCUUCGGAUUGUAAACCUAAGUAGCCAGGGACGAUAAUGACGGUACCUGGAGAGUAAGCUCCGGCUAACUACGUGCCAGCAGCCGCGGUAAUACGUAGGGAGCGAGCGUUGUCCGGAAUUACUGGGUGUAAAGGGUGCGUAGGCGGGAUGGCAAGUCAGAUGUGAAAUACCGGGGCUUAACCCCGGGGCUGCAUUUGAAACUGUCGUUCUUGAGUGAAGUAGAGGCAGGCGGAAUUCCUAGUG
Molecule: ribosomal RNA, 303 nt
Filed under: uncultured bacterium
Lineage: Bacteria
Description: bacterial SSU rRNA
Rfam family: Bacterial small subunit ribosomal RNA
Source: RNAcentral